UACGUAGGGUGCGAGCGUUGUCCGGAAUUAUUGGGCGUAAAGGGCUCGUAGGCGGUUUGUCGCGUCGGGAGUGAAAACCCAGGGCUUAACUCUGGGCUUGCUUUCGAUACGGGCAGACUAGAGGUAUGUAGGGGAGAACGGAAUUCCUGGUGUAGCGGUGAAAUGCGCAGAUAUCAGGAGGAACACCGGUGGCGAAGGCGGUUCUCUGGGCAUUACCUGACGCUGAGGAGCGAAAGUGUGGGGAGCGAACAGG
Molecule: ribosomal RNA, 253 nt
Filed under: uncultured bacterium
Lineage: Bacteria
Description: partial 16S ribosomal RNA
Rfam family: Bacterial small subunit ribosomal RNA
Source: RNAcentral